AUGAAAUUUCUCUAUGUUCUACCUGGUUGGGAGGGUUCGGCAUCGGAUUCGAGAGUGCUAAAAGAUGCUAUGAGAAUCGAUCGCGAAGAUGCAUUUGUUUUGUCAAUACGAAAGUACUAUCUUGUUGAUGCUGGCUAUACCAAUGGACAUGGAUUUCUAUCUCCAUUCAGAUCCACUCAGUACCACUUGAAAGAGUGGGUUGCAAGUCAACAACAACCCCAAAAUGAAAGAGAGUUGUAUAACUUGCGACAUGCUCGUGCUAGAAAUGUUGUGGAGAGAACCUUUGGCUUGUUGAAGAAAAAAUGGGCCAUCUUGCGUUCUUGUUCUUUCUUUGACAUA
RNAcentral lists this ribosomal RNA (339 nucleotides) under Triticum aestivum (bread wheat). RNAcentral describes it as "partial small subunit ribosomal RNA". Lineage: Eukaryota; Viridiplantae; Streptophyta; Magnoliopsida; Poales; Poaceae. The record is from RNAcentral.